AUCCUAAUGCAGAGCACUUAUUGGAUAUUUAAGAAGCAAAAGUGCCCUCUGUUAGGAUGA
RNAcentral lists this microRNA precursor (60 nucleotides) under Sarcophilus harrisii (Tasmanian devil). Its description in RNAcentral is "Sha-Mir-430-o18_pre stem-loop". Lineage: Eukaryota; Metazoa; Chordata; Mammalia; Dasyuromorphia; Dasyuridae. The record is from RNAcentral.